GCUGAAGUCAGCAUUUGGGACAGGAAGUGUAGAGGACGUCAGAGUCCAUCAGAGCUGAGCUGCUUUCAGACGACUCCGUCUUGUUGUGAAUGCUGAAGCUGAUCAUGGUUCUCCUGUGGAUGAUCCUGUUGGUGGUUCUGCUCUGUGCAGAGGCCGAGAACGUGACCGAGGUCAGAGGAGAGCUGGGGACCAAUGUCACUCUAACCUGCUCCAAUCAGACAUCAGGCACACACUGGUACAUGGAGAUCUACAGCCAGUUCAGAGCAUGUGUCAGCUGCCAGAUUUCUUCAACACAUUUUACCUACAACUCUCCUGAUUUUGAAACCAAAUUUUCACUCCUGGGAAACAAACUCAUGAUUAAAAACUUCAGUGCAGGAGACUGCAGGCUUUACUUCUGUGGCAUCAACAGAAAUGACAGCAUUCAUUUUGUGGAGACUUUCCGUCUCGUCUCAGUUUUUCUUUCUCCAGAUAUCUUUCCAACCUCUGAGUCAGACCCUCAGCAGCAGAGCAGCUCCAUAUCACAGCAUCACCUCCUCAUCAUAUACCGCUCAGCCUUCCUCAUUACUGCCAUCACCCUUGUCAUACUGGGAAAAAAGUCACAUGUUUUGAGGCAUGCUUAAUCACGCAGUUGUGGUUUUUACGUCUCUGUGGGUGAAGAGAAAAUCUCUCCAGGUGCGCAGCCCUCGACCUGUGACCAGUUGGAUUGCAGAGACUGUGCAGAGU
Oreochromis aureus is the source of this 723-nucleotide long non-coding RNA. NCBI's taxonomy places the organism in Eukaryota, Metazoa, Chordata, Actinopteri, Cichliformes, Cichlidae. The record is from Ensembl.